Molecule: ribosomal RNA, 433 nt
Filed under: uncultured bacterium
Lineage: Bacteria
Description: partial 16S ribosomal RNA
Rfam family: Bacterial small subunit ribosomal RNA
Source: RNAcentral
AACGAACGCUGGCGGCAUGCCUAACACAUGCAAGUCGAACGAGACCUUCGGGUCUAGUGGCGCACGGGUGCGAAACGCGUGGGAACCUGCCCUUAGGUUCGGAAUAACUCGCCGAAAGGGGUGCUAAUACCGGAUAAUGUCUUCGGACCAAAGAUUUAUCGCCUUUGGAUGGGCCCGCGUUGGAUUAGCUAGUUGGUAGGGUAAAAGCCUACCAAGGCGACGAUCCAUAGCUGGUCUGCGAGGAUGAUAAGCCACACUGGGACUGAGACACGGCCCAGACUCCUACGGGAGGCAGCAGUGGGGAAUAUUGGACAAUGGGCGAAAGCCUGAUCCAGCAAUGCCGCGUGAGUGAUGAAGGCCUUAGGGUUGUAAAGCUCUUUUACCCGGGAUGAUAAUGAGAGUACCGGGAGAAUAGGCUCCGGCUAACUCCGUG